AUGACUUUGUAUAAAAAAUAUUAAAAUACAUUUAGCAGAAAAUUGUUAUGUAAUUUUAAUUAAUAAUCUUAACUCUAACAGUUUAAGUUUUCUUUUAACUGAUAGGUUUUUCAUGUAACAAAUUAAAAUAAUGUACCAUUCUCAAAUUCUUAUUAAAAACUUAUAAUAACUAUAAUAUAAAUUUUUCUAAAGAUCUUUUUUGCUCAAUUAAUAUUUGGUGUAUGGGUGCAUAAGUUGAAGAUUUGGAAGGUGAUGACCGAUUGCCACAUAUACUGGAUACAAAACAUAAAACCAAUAUUUUGGAUUCAAGAGCACAUAAAAUGCCAUUAUGAAUGAUGAAAGGAAUCUCCCAAAAAUGUAUUGAUGAAAUAUUUGAAAAUUCUUAUAGAGUAUCAAAAAAAAAAUCUAUGCAUUACAUCUACUAAGACACCCACCCCAACAAGCAUUGCGUGUUUAUUUAAAUUUGUCUAUGCAGCUUCAAUGGGCUCCACUUACCCUCACUGAGCAGAUAUUGAGACAAUUGUUACUGGUCAAUUCUCAGUCUGCUCCACAUCAGUGGAAAUGCACCCUAAAAAUGUCAUUAGAGCUUUAUAGCUCUAUAUAAUAAUUAUCUAUUAUAAGUGUUAUAAAUUGUCGGUAGCUUUUUUUAGAAAUAAACACAUUAUUUUUUUC
Long non-coding RNA from Leptidea sinapis, 672 nucleotides. RefSeq lists it as uncharacterized. The transcript has 2 exons. NCBI's taxonomy places the organism in Eukaryota, Metazoa, Arthropoda, Insecta, Lepidoptera, Pieridae. The record is from RefSeq and is a predicted model, not a curated record.